CAGAAUUUGACAACCAAAUGCACCAAACAGUUUCUUCAGACAAUGGCACUGAAUUCUUCUAUGAGGGCUGCUGUGGCCACACUCGUUCUGUUCUCCCUUGUUCUCGCUUUACCAUGUGAGGCAACAAGACCAACCCCAAAGCUUAUUGGGCGACCCCCGAUUUUUUGUCCUGCCUGUGUUUGCUGUGCACCAGCCCCUCCAGGCUCAUGUUGCCCCUGUCGCUGUCCUCCUGGAGUGGGAAGCCCUAUCGGCUACGCAGCUGAAGCUGAUAACACUUCGCCAUGACUUGAUGGCCACAAGUUUGUUUACUUUUCUACUUGUGUACGCGUCCAAAGUACCAAUGUACUAGCAUGAUAAACAUAUGCAAUUUCUAUUGGAUACCAUGUUGAAGUGAAAUACCUGAUUACGAAUAAGUCUCUUUAGACUCUCCCUCCCCCGUAAUUUGGGAUAGAAUAAACUAUACAAUUGUUAUCAUUUUUGAAUUAAAAAAAAAAAAAAGAAUUUGGGGGGUGGGGGAGGGAGUUUAAAAUCCCUGCUUUCACUGUUAUUUGCAUGUAUUUUUUUUUUAUUUUGUUUAUCAAUAUAUUGGGCUAAUAG
Molecule: long non-coding RNA, 597 nt
Organism: Coffea arabica (coffee)
Lineage: Eukaryota; Viridiplantae; Streptophyta; Magnoliopsida; Gentianales; Rubiaceae
Source: RefSeq, a predicted model, not a curated record